GGAGAGGUAGCGUAGUGGCCUAACGCGCUCGCCUGGAACGCGAGUAGGGGUAACACCCUCGUGGGUUCGAAUCCCACCCUCUCCG
Molecule: transfer RNA, 85 nt
Filed under: Pseudomonadota bacterium
Lineage: Bacteria; Pseudomonadati; Pseudomonadota
Also listed under: 4 other names
Description: tRNA-Ser
Rfam family: tRNA
About the family: Transfer RNA (tRNA) molecules are approximately 80 nucleotides in length. Their secondary structure includes four short double-helical elements and three loops (D, anti-codon, and T loops).
Source: RNAcentral